Molecule: long non-coding RNA, 1103 nt
Organism: Tribolium madens (black flour beetle)
Lineage: Eukaryota; Metazoa; Arthropoda; Insecta; Coleoptera; Tenebrionidae
Exons: 3
Source: RefSeq, a predicted model, not a curated record
AGGCAAUGAUUUGGAAUAACUAAAUUUAUAAUUUACCUUCAAAAUUAAUAAUAAUAAUUAUUAUUAUUAUUAUUUUUAUUAUUAAUAAAUAAUAAUUAAUAAUAAUAAUAAUCUUUAUUAACCUUCAAAAAUAUACACACUCAGUAUCUGGAAGAGAGCUUCUCGGCAACUUAAGAUACAUGUGGUUCCCAGGUUAACUUUGUGUCCAGCCACGCCCCAAGAAGUUUGACAGCAUUGUUGAUGCUCAGUUGGUUCGCCCCAUUCCAAUCUCGAACCCCGAGGUCGGUCAACUGUAACCAUCAUGUCUGUCAUUACCUUGGCUUCAGGGUGACUGUCUGUCACAGUUGUAUCAAGAAUGUUUUGGAAUUUAACCUAUGGAGAGAUCAUUAAUGUGAAUUAAAAAAAGUGUUGGGUCUAAUACUGAUCUCUGAGGUUUAAUAGGGAGUCUAGACGAAUCCAAACCACUUUGGUUAGUAUACUGGUUUCUAUCAUUUAAGUAGCUACUAAUUAGUUGUAUAUCUACUAUUAUUAUGAAAGUUGUAGGCUUUUAGUUUUUUGAGCAAAAUCGAGUGCGAGAUGCAAUCAAAUGCCUUCGUCAGGUCGUAACACGAGGCAAAAGUGUGAUUUUUGCCCUCAAAACCAUCAAUUACCGUCUCGGUGAGGUUCAGAAGCGCAUCAGUGGUACUCAUAUUGUUCCUGAAACCAAAUUGACUUUUGCUAAAAAGAUUAUUACUCUCGAAAAAGACUGUGAUUUGUUGUUUUAGGAGUUUUUCAAAAACUUUAGACAAUACAGAGAGAUCGGACGAUAAUUGGAUGGGUUGUUCGCGUCACCCUUUUUGGGGAUAGGUAUUACCUUAGAUAAUUUAAGGCACUCGGGGAAAACUCGUUUAUCAAUACAAUUAUUUAUUAAUUUUGUAAGCGGUAUGGUUAUUAAGUUUUUAAUGUUUUUUUUUAUAAUCUUGGUGUUAAGGUCAUAUGCAUCUUUGCUAUUGGUAUUUUUUAAUGAGUCAAUCGCCAAUCUUACUUCAUUGAAGGUGGCAUGUCUAAAUUCAAAGCACUUUACAUUCUUAAUGGUUGUCCAGAUGCUUGGGUCAGUGUCAGAG